RNAcentral lists this ribosomal RNA (483 nucleotides) under uncultured bacterium. Its description in RNAcentral is "partial 16S ribosomal RNA". It matches the Rfam family "Bacterial small subunit ribosomal RNA", at positions 28 to 523 of the family's 1533-position model. The record is from RNAcentral.
GACGAACGCUGGCGGCGUGCUUAACACAUGCAAGUCGAACGAUGAUGCCCAGCUUGCUGGGUGGAUUAGUGGCGAACGGGUGAGUAACACGUGAGUAACCUGCCCCUGACUCUGGGAUAAGCGUUGGAAACGACGUCUAAUACUGGAUAUGACUGCCGGCCGCAUGGUCUGGUGGUGGAAAGAUUUUUUGGUUGGGGAUGGACUCGCGGCCUAUCAGCUUGUUGGUGAGGUAAUGGCUCACCAAGGCGACGACGGGUAGCCGGCCUGAGAGGGUGACCGGCCACACUGGGACUGAGACACGGCCCAGACUCCUACGGGAGGCAGCAGUGGGGAAUAUUGCACAAUGGGCGAAAGCCUGAUGCAGCAACGCCGCGUGAGGGAUGACGGCCUUCGGGUUGUAAACCUCUUUUAGUAGGGAAGAAGCGAAAGUGACGGUACCUGCAGAAAAAGCACCGGCUAACUACGUGCCAGCAGCCGCGGUAA